UGGCUCAGGAUGAACGCUAGCGGCAGGCUUAACACAUGCAAGUCGAGGGGCAUCGGGAGUAGCAAUACUUGCCGGCGACCGGCGCAAGGGUGCGUAACGCGUGAGCAGCAUGCCCGUAUCAGGGGGAUAAUCCAUGGAAACGUGGUCUAAUACCCCAUAGUAAUUAUGUAAGGCAUCUUAUAUAAUUUAAAGCUUUGGUGGAUACGGAUUGGCUCGCGUGACAUUAGCUGGAUGGUAAGGUAACGGCUUACCAUGGCUACGAUGUCUAGGGGUUCUGAGAGGAAGGUCCCCCCACACUGGAACUGAGACACGGUCCAGACUCCUACGGGAGGCAGCAGUGAGGAAUAUUGGACAAUGGAUGGAAAUCUGAUCCAGCCAUGCCGCGUGCAGGAAAGACGGCCCUAUGGGUUGUAAACUGCUUUUGUAUGGGAGCAAUAAGGGCUACGUGUAGUCCGAUGAGAGUACCAUACGAAUAAGCACCGGCUAACUCCGUGCCAGCCGCUGC
RNAcentral lists this ribosomal RNA (505 nucleotides) under uncultured bacterium. RNAcentral describes it as "bacterial SSU rRNA". It matches the Rfam family "Bacterial small subunit ribosomal RNA", at positions 20 to 518 of the family's 1533-position model. The record is from RNAcentral.